Molecule: ribosomal RNA, 780 nt
Filed under: uncultured Actinomyces sp.
Lineage: Bacteria; Bacillati; Actinomycetota; Actinomycetes; Actinomycetales; Actinomycetaceae
Description: bacterial SSU rRNA
Rfam family: Bacterial small subunit ribosomal RNA
Source: RNAcentral
CAGACUCCUACGGGAGGCAGCAGUGGGGAAUAUUGCGCAAUGGACGAAAGUCUGACGCAGCAACGCCGCGUGAGGGAUGACGGCCUUCGGGUUGUAAACCUCUUUCAGCAGGGACGAAGCGAGAGUGACGGUACCUGCAGAAGAAGGACCGGCCAACUACGUGCCAGCAGCCGCGGUAAUACGUAGGGUCCGAGCGUUGUCCGGAAUUAUUGGGCGUAAAGGGCUCGUAGGCGGUUCGUCACGUCGGGAGUGAAAACUCGGAGCUCAACUCCGAGCCUGCUUCCGAUACGGGCAGACUAGAGGUAGGCAGGGGAGAGCGGAACUCCUGGUGUAGCGGUGGAAUGCGCAGAUAUCAGGAAGAACACCGGUGGCGAAGGCGGCUCUCUGGGCCUUACCUGACGCUGAGGAGCGAAAGCGUGGGUAGCGAACAGGCUUAGAUACCCUGGUAGUCCACCCCGUAAACGUUGGGAACUAGUUGUGGGGUCCAUUCCACGGAUUCCGUGACGCAGCUAACGCAUUAAGUUCCCCGCCUGGGGAGUACGGCCGCAAGACUAAAACUCAAAGGAAUUGACGGGGACCCGCACAAGCGGGCGGAGCAUGCGGAUUAAUUCGAUGCAACGCGAAGAACCUUACCUGGGUUUGACAUAUAGGGAAAUCCUCCAGAGAUGGGGGGUCCGUAAGGGUCCUAUACAGGUGGUGCAUGGCUGUCGUCAGCUCGCGUCGUGAGAUGUGGGGUUAAGUCCCGCAACGAGCGCAACCCCUCGUCCCUAUGUUGCCAGC